RNAcentral lists this ribosomal RNA (460 nucleotides) under uncultured bacterium. Its description in RNAcentral is "partial 16S ribosomal RNA". It matches the Rfam family "Bacterial small subunit ribosomal RNA", at positions 338 to 795 of the family's 1533-position model. The record is from RNAcentral.
CCUACGGGAGGCAGCAGUGAGGAAUAUUGGGCAAUGGGCGCGAGCCUGAACCAGCGAAGCAGCGUGAAGGAUGACUGCCCUACGGGUUGUAAACUUCUUUUAUAAAGGAAUAAAGUGAGGCACGUGUGCCUUGUUGUACGUACUUUAUGAAUAAGGAUCGGCUAACGCCGAGCCAGCAGCAGCGGUAAUACGGAGGAGCCAAGCGUUAUCCGGGUUGAUUGGGUUUAAAGGGAGCGUAGAUGGGUUGUUAAGUCAGGUGAGAAAGCUUGCGGCUCAACCUGAAAAUUGCUAUUGAUACUGGCAGCCUUGAGUGCAGUUGAGGUAGGCGGAAUUCGUGGUGUAGCGGUGAAAUGCGUAGAUAUCACGAGGAACACCGAUUGCGAAGGCAGCCUACUAGACUGCCACUGACAUUGAUGCUCGAAAGUGUGGGUAUCAAACAGGAUUAGAUACCCCGGUAGUC